RNAcentral lists this ribosomal RNA (719 nucleotides) under uncultured Gammaproteobacteria bacterium. RNAcentral's name for it is "bacterial SSU rRNA". It matches the Rfam family "Bacterial small subunit ribosomal RNA", at positions 61 to 794 of the family's 1533-position model. Lineage: Bacteria; Pseudomonadati; Pseudomonadota; Gammaproteobacteria. The record is from RNAcentral.
GUCGAGCGGUAGCACAGAGAAGCUUGCUUCUUGGGUGACGAGCGGCGGACGGGUGAGUAACGCGUAGGAAUCUACCUAAUGGUGGGGGAUAGCCCAGGGAAACUUGGAUUAAUACCGCAUAAGUCCUAAGGGAGAAAGCGGGGGAUCUUCGGACCUCGUGCCAUUAGAUGAGCCUGCGUAAGAUUAGCUAGUUGGUGAGGUAAGAGCUCACCAAGGCGACGAUCUUUAGCUGGUCUGAGAGGAUGAUCAGCCACACUGGGACUGAGACACGGCCCAGACUCCUACGGGAGGCAGCAGUGGGGAAUAUUGGACAAUGGGCGAAAGCCUGAUCCAGCAAUGCCGCGUGUGUGAAGAAGGCCUGCGGGUUGUAAAGCACUUUCAGUUGGGAAGAUGAUGACGUUACCAACAGAAGAAGCACCGGCUAAAUCCGUGCCAGCAGCCGCGGUAAUACGGAUGGUGCGAGCGUUAAUCGGAAUUACUGGGCGUAAAGCGCGCGUAGGCGGCUAAGUCAGUCAGAAGUGAAAGCCCCGGGCUCAACCUGGGAAUUGCUUUUGAUACUGCUUGGCUAGAGUUUGGUAGAGGAUAGUGGAAUUCCAGGUGUAGCGGUGAAAUGCGUAGAUAUCUGGAGGAACAUCAGUGGCGAAGGCGACUGUCUGGACCAAAACUGACGCUGAGGUGCGAAAGCGUGGGUAGCAAACAGGAUUAGAUACCCUGGUAGA